Molecule: ribosomal RNA, 442 nt
Filed under: uncultured bacterium
Lineage: Bacteria
Description: partial 16S ribosomal RNA
Rfam family: Bacterial small subunit ribosomal RNA
Source: RNAcentral
CCUACGGGAGGCAGCAGUGGGGAAUAUUGGGCAAUGGACGCAAGUCUGACCCAGCAACGCCGCGUGAAGGAAGAAGGCUUUCGGGUUGUAAACUUCUUUUAAGGGGGAAGAGCAGAAGACGGUACCCCUUGAAUAAGCAUCGGCUAACUCCGUGCCAGCAGCCGCGGUAAUACGGAGGAUGCGAGCGUUAUCCGGAUUUAUUGGGUUUAAAGGGUGCGCAGGCGGAAGCGGCAAGUCAGCGGUAAAAUUGCGGGGCUCAACCUCGCCGAGCCGUUGAAACUGCUCUUCUAGAGUGGGCGAGAAGUAUGCGGAAUGCGUGGUGUAGCGGUGAAAUGCAUAGAUAUCACGCAGAACUCCGAUUGCGAAGGCAGCAUACCGGCGCCCAACUGACGCUCAUGCACGAAAGCGUGGGUAUCGAACAGGAUUAGAUACCCUAGUAGUC